GUAGAGGCUCAUUAGAGAAAAUGAUUACACCUGUGUCACCCAGUCUCUGGUUGCCCAGCCAAGUUCUGGAUGGUGGGUGUUUCUCUCAAACCUUAUGUGGAUUCUGGGUAAAGAUAGUUUUAGCACAGUAGAGUGAGGCUGACCAUGGCCUAGUUAGCUAGCAUUGGGAGUUUGAAGUUCUUGGCUGCUCCUCAGUGUGAGGAAGGGUCUCUCUGUGACUGGAGCAGCUCAUGCUGCAUGAGCCAAACACUCAGACAAGAGCCUCAGGGAGAAUAAUAACUCCUGGUUACAGUGUGGCGGUGGAUCACUUUCCUCAGCACGCUCCCCUCUCCUGUCUCGUCCCACCCUGUCAACCUCUGGUAAAGGAUAGCAGGUUCCAGUCUCAGCUGUGGGCCAGAUCACUCAAGCUCUAAACACCGAGAGCCCAAACUGAGAGGUACACACGCCUGACAUGAUGGAGCAGCGCAAAGCUGGAGGUGAAGCAGCUGAGGAGAGAUCUCGAAAAACAAUCAAU
Molecule: long non-coding RNA, 514 nt
Organism: Lates calcarifer (barramundi perch)
Lineage: Eukaryota; Metazoa; Chordata; Actinopteri; Centropomidae
Exons: 4
Source: RefSeq, a predicted model, not a curated record